This 76-nucleotide non-coding RNA is filed under the name Humidesulfovibrio mexicanus. The record is from RNAcentral. Lineage: Bacteria; Pseudomonadati; Thermodesulfobacteriota; Desulfovibrionia; Desulfovibrionales; Desulfovibrionaceae.
UAGCGAAACCGCCCCGGCCUGCGGGCCGGGUGCGGUCGGCCGGGCGUGGUGGCCCGGUCCUGAUGAGCAGCCGACA